This 497-nucleotide ribosomal RNA is filed under the name uncultured bacterium. RNAcentral's name for it is "partial 16S ribosomal RNA". It matches the Rfam family "Bacterial small subunit ribosomal RNA", at positions 28 to 507 of the family's 1533-position model. The record is from RNAcentral.
GAUGAACGCUGGCGGCGUGCCUAAUACAUGCAAGUCGAGCGAACAGACGAGGAGCUUGCUCCUUCGACGUUAGCGGCGGACGGGUGAGUAACACGUAGGUAACCUACCUAUAAGACUGGGAUAACUUCGGGAAACCGGAGCUAAUACCGGAUAAUAUUUCGAACCGCAUGGUUCGAUAGUGAAAGAUGGCUUUGCUAUCACUUAUAGAUGGACCUGCGCCGUAUUAGCUAGUUGGUAAGGUAACGGCUUACCAAGGCAACGAUACGUAGCCGACCUGAGAGGGUGAUAGGCGACACUGGAACUGAGACACGGUCCAGACUCCUACGGGAGGCAGCAGUAGGGAAUCUUCCGCAAUGGGCGAAAGCCUGACGGAGCAACGCCGCGUGAGUGAUGAAGGUCUUCGGAUCGUAAAACUCUGUUAUUAGGGAAGAACAAACGUGUAAGUAACUGUGCACGUCGUGACGGUACCUAAUCAGAAAGCCACGGCUAACUACGUG